GAAAUGCGAUAAGUAAUGUGAAUUGCAGAAUUCCGUGAAUCAUCGAAUCUUUGAACGCACAUUGCGCCCUCUGGCAUUCCGGGGGGCAUGCCUGUCCGAGCGUCAUUACGCACCCUCAAGCCCGGCUUGUGUGAUGGGCCCUGGCGUCUCGUUCGCGAGACGGGCCCGAAAGGCAGCGGCGGCGUCGACCCGAUGAGCCCGAGCGUAUGUGGACUUUUGUCACACGUUUGCGGUGCGGACCGGCGCCUGCUUGACUUUUCUGAUUAUCCAGGUUGACCUCGGAUCAGGUAGGGAUACCCGCUGAACUUAAGC
Molecule: unclassified non-coding RNA, 312 nt
Filed under: plant metagenome
Description: partial contains 5.8S ribosomal RNA, internal transcribed spacer 2, and large subunit ribosomal RNA
Rfam family: 5.8S ribosomal RNA (bases 1-105)
Source: RNAcentral